This 373-nucleotide ribosomal RNA is filed under the name uncultured organism. RNAcentral describes it as "partial 16S ribosomal RNA". It matches the Rfam family "Bacterial small subunit ribosomal RNA", at positions 527 to 896 of the family's 1533-position model. The record is from RNAcentral.
AGAGGGUGCAAGCGUUAAUCGGAAUUACUGGGGCGUAAAGCGUGCGUAGGUGGUUAGGUCAGUCGAAUGUGAAAGCCCUGGGGCUCAACCUGGGGAAUUGCAUCCGAUACUGCCUGGCUAGAGUAGUGGAGAGGGAAGUGGAAUUUCCGGUGUAGCGGUGAAAUGCGUAGAUAUCGGAAGGAACACCAGUGGCGAAGGCGACUUCCUGGAAACAUACUGACACUGAGGCACGAAAGCGUGGGGAGCAAACAGGAUUAGAUACCCUGGUAGUCCACGCCGUAAACGAUGAGAACUAGAUGUUGGGGAGCUUGACUUCUCAGUAUCGCAGCUAACGCAUUAAGUUCUCCGCCUGGGGAGUACGGUCGCAAGAUUA